RNAcentral lists this unclassified non-coding RNA (402 nucleotides) under soil metagenome. Its description in RNAcentral is "partial contains 5.8S ribosomal RNA, internal transcribed spacer 2, and large subunit ribosomal RNA". The stretch from base 1 to 121 matches the Rfam family "5.8S ribosomal RNA", at positions 35 to 154 of the family's 154-position model. The record is from RNAcentral.
GAUGAAGAACGUAGCGAAAUGCGAUAAGUAAUGUGAAUUGCAGAAUUCAGUGAAUCAUCGAAUCUUUGAACGCACCUUGCGCCCUUUGGCCAUUCCGAAGGGCAUGCCUGUUUGAGUAUCAUGAACACCUCAACUCUCAUGGCUCGCCAUGAUGAGCUUGGACUUUGGGGGUCUUGCUGGCCUGUGGUCGGCUCCUCUCAAAUGGAUCAGCUUGCCAGUGUUUGGUGGCAUCACAGGUGUGAUAACUAUCUGCGCUUGUGGUUUUCCAUCAGAUAACCUUCAGUGAUGGAGGUUCGCUGGAGCUCAUAAACGUCUCCCCUAAGCGGGGACAGCCCUUUGAAUGUUUGAUCUCAAAUCAGGUAGGACUACCCGCUGAGCUUAAGCAUAUCAAUAAGCGGAGGA